UGGGGGAGGGAGGAGCUCGUCGAAGGAGGCUGAAUCAAGGGGCGACGAGGUACCUGCUCCGCGUGGUCGACGAUGGAGGUCCUCGACGGCGGCGGUUUUGCCCUGGCGGCUAGGGUUGGGAGAAAUGGUGGGAGAAAGAGAGGAGGGGGAGCUGUUGGACCGGGAGAAAAGAUAAAUGGCAAAGGGAUGUUGGUAGCGCGUAUUUUUUUCGGGAUUGGGCCUGUUUUGGCGCUUGUUUUGUUUUUAGCAUGG
Molecule: long non-coding RNA, 252 nt
Filed under: Sorghum bicolor (sorghum)
Lineage: Eukaryota; Viridiplantae; Streptophyta; Magnoliopsida; Poales; Poaceae
Description: long non-coding RNA (SBIC_LNC017393)
Source: RNAcentral